GUGAGGAAUAUUGGUCAAUGGGCGGGAGCCUGAACCAGCCAAGUCGCGUGAAGGAAGAAGGAUCUAUGGUUCGUAAACUUCUUUUGCGGGGGAAUAAAGUGCAGGACGUGUCCUGUUUUGUAUGUACCCUGAGAAUAAGGAUCGGCUAACUCCGUGCCAGCAGCCGCGGUAAUACGGAGGAUCCGAGCGUUAUCCGGAUUUAUUGGGUUUAAAGGGUGCGUAGGUGGUUUGAUAAGUCAGCGGUGAAAGUUUGCAGCUUAACUGUAAAAAUGCCGUUGAAACUGUCGGACUUGAGUGUAAAUGAGGUAGGCGGAAUGCGUGGUGUAGCGGUGAAAUGCAUAGAUAUCACGCAGAACUCCGAUUGCGAAGGCAGCUUACUAAGCUACAACUGACACUGAAGCACGAAAGCGUGGGGAUCAAACAGGAUUAGAUACCCUGGUAGUCC
RNAcentral lists this ribosomal RNA (445 nucleotides) under uncultured bacterium. RNAcentral's name for it is "partial 16S ribosomal RNA". It matches the Rfam family "Bacterial small subunit ribosomal RNA", at positions 354 to 796 of the family's 1533-position model. The record is from RNAcentral.